Molecule: long non-coding RNA, 883 nt
Filed under: Erythranthe guttata (spotted monkey flower)
Lineage: Eukaryota; Viridiplantae; Streptophyta; Magnoliopsida; Lamiales; Phrymaceae
Description: long non-coding RNA (EGUT_LNC000060)
Source: RNAcentral
CAAAAGUAGCAAAUAAAAAGCCAAUUAAGUCAUAAAAAUCAUCCAUUUAGCUUAAAAUCAACAGUAAAUUUGAAGAAGCUCUUACCUUCUUCGGCAGCGCUUUUCCUGAAUUUUUUACCGUUUAAAGAUUGUCUGGUUCCCGUUGUUGAGAAUUGGAGGGUCCUCGAAUGCUGUAGCGGAGAGUGCACCGUUGAUAGGACCGAGCUACAGUACAGCUUCAAACACGGAUUAAUGAAUCUUCAUUAGAUAAACACCUGGUAGCAAAAGGAGAAUCAAUGGGAAUAUAAGUUAAUAUAAACAUAUAUUCAUCUCAUAUCCUCCCUAGAAAGGAUAUUAAGAAAAAUAAUUAUCUAACAUUGAGGGAACCAAAUAAAACUCUACCAAAUACCCAUCAUUUGAAAGGAUUUUACCAAAUAAUCAUCGCAUAUGAUUCUCAUAUUAGACGAGACAACCUAAUACAAAUUAUUUCACCUCCUGAAAUAUGAAAGCUAAAUUAAAAAUUAGUCAAAUCUUACAUUAUCAUACAAAAUGUCGGAUUUAUAGACCAUAGAGUGUUGCGGAAGUUGGGGCAUUAAAAUUGCAUAUAUAGGUGCCUGCUAUUUACCUCAUAAAUAGGUAAAUUAAUACCUAGAGUUUUGAGGGCUGGGCUUCAUAGAUGGUGGACGGCGUCUAGCUGAACGCAGUGGCAGCGAUUGGAAACGAAGAUGACGGCCGGCGACUGCAGGGGGCGUGGUCUUGGGCAACGACGGCGGCUGGAAGGAAAUGGGCAAUGACGGCGGCACCGACGGGAGUAAACUUAGGGAGCGAAGAUUGACAGCGUCAAUUUAAUCGACGGUGAGAAUGACGGGAAAGGGGAGGGAGUGUGGAGGAAGAGAGAGUAAAA